Molecule: long non-coding RNA, 885 nt
Organism: Pseudoliparis swirei
Lineage: Eukaryota; Metazoa; Chordata; Actinopteri; Perciformes; Liparidae
Exons: 2
Source: RefSeq, a predicted model, not a curated record
AGCCUAGGUACCGAGCCAUGACGGCAGGCUCAACAAAAAGAGUGGACCAAAGCCCCACCUCAGCAGCUCAGGAGGAAAGAAAAGAAGGGAAACUCCUCCGGCUGUCUGUGCCGCGCGAUAAUAGCACAGGCAAAUGUUGUAAAUAUUGUUGGGGAAGAUUUCUCCAUAGCUACGUUAGACAAUCUGAGUUCACUUCUGCUUUUUUUUUUUUUUUUUUAAGUUUGCAACGUGUUAUUGAGAAAGCAAACAUUGUCAAAAGAUGUGUUUGCUUCCAAAAAAUACCCCCCACAAUGCAAAUUGGUGAAGGAAGAACAAAUCAUAAGAUUGUUCACAGUUGAAGUGGAAGACAUCCUAUCAAAAACCCAUGCAAAGCUGUCUGCGACUCCACCUUUUCAACAGUGUUAGCCUAAAUGAAGUCGGGAUAGCUUUUCUGUAGCAACUACUGCGAAAAAUACAGCAAAUAACUAACAGAUAGUACUCAUUUAAACACAUGCAUCAAUAAUAUGUAGGAACGUUUAAGGUUACAUGUUUUGAAUUUAAAAUAAUUGCAGCUAGAUCCGUAACACUCAUAAACAUGAAGACAUUAAAGAUAUUGAUUUACGUUUCCCACCAGAUUUAGCAGAGAUUCGAGCAGCAGUUCGGGUGAAUAAACUGUCCUUUUCUGUUUCUACCAGCGAAUGUUUAGGGGUCGCCGCUGUUGGACAGCAGGCUGAAACUCGUGAUAAAAACAUCCGUUGUAUUUGCCAUCCCAGCCUUUUUACUGACGUUGCACGUUUCGCGAGAGGCAAAUAUGUACACGCCUUCUACACAAACCUCGCUCUGAGCAGAAACAGCGAGUGCCAAACGUUAAAAUGUGGAGUUUCUAUUAAACAAACUUGUAUUUAA